This 530-nucleotide ribosomal RNA is filed under the name uncultured bacterium. RNAcentral describes it as "bacterial SSU rRNA". It matches the Rfam family "Bacterial small subunit ribosomal RNA", at positions 777 to 1308 of the family's 1533-position model. The record is from RNAcentral.
AAUAGAUACCCAGGUAGUCCACGCCGUAAACGAUGUCGACUUGGAGGUUGUUCCCUUGAGGAGUGGCUUCCGGAGCUAACGCGUUAAGUCGACCGCCUGGGGAGUACGGCCGCAAGGUUAAAACUCAAAUGAAUUGACGGGGGCCCGCACAAGCGGUGGAGCAUGUGGUUUAAUUCGAUGCAACGCGAAGAACCUUACCUACUCUUGACAUCCAGAGAACUUAGCAGAGAUGCUUUGGUGCCUUCGGGGAACUCUGAGACAGGUGCUGCAUGGCUGUCGUCAGCUCGUGUUGUGAAAUGUUGGGUUAAGUCCCGCAACGAGCGCAACCCUUAUCCUUUGUUGCCAGCGGUUCGGCCGGGAACUCAAAGGAGACUGCCAGUGAUAAACUGGAGGAAGGUGGGGAUGACGUCAAGUCAUCAUGGCCCUUACGAGUAGGGCUACACACGUGCUACAAUGGCGUAUCAAAGAGAAGCGACCUGCGAGAGCAAGCGGACCUCAUAAAGUACGUCGUAGUCCGGAUUGGAGUCUGC